AUACGGGGGAUGCAAGCGUUAUCCGGAUUUAUUGGGUUUAAAGGGUGCGCAGGCGGGCGAUUAAGUCAGCGGUGAAAGGCUCGGGCUCAACCGGAGCAGUGCCGUUGAUACUGGUUGGCUUGAAUGCGGUCAAGGCCGGCGGAAUGUGGCGUGGAGCGGUGAAAUGCAUAGAUAUUCCACAGAACACCGAUAGCGAAGGCAGCUGGCCGGGCCUGCAUUGACGCUGAGGCACGAAAGCGUGGGGAUCGAACAGGAUUAGAUACCCUGGUAGUCCACGCUGUAAACGAUGGACACUCGUUGUCGGCGACAGACAGUCGGCGGCCAAGCGAAAGUGAUAAGUGUCCCACCUGGGGAGUACGGUCGCAAGGCUGAAACUUAAAGGAAUUGACGGGG
This 393-nucleotide ribosomal RNA is filed under the name uncultured bacterium. RNAcentral describes it as "partial 16S ribosomal RNA". It matches the Rfam family "Bacterial small subunit ribosomal RNA", at positions 523 to 918 of the family's 1533-position model. The record is from RNAcentral.